This is a long non-coding RNA of Uranotaenia lowii, 499 nucleotides long. RefSeq lists it as uncharacterized. Lineage: Eukaryota; Metazoa; Arthropoda; Insecta; Diptera; Culicidae. The record is from RefSeq and is a predicted model, not a curated record. The transcript is spliced from 3 exons.
UAAGUGAAAAAAAGAAAAAAAAAUAUCAAAAUUUUCCACCGAACGUACCGAACUAAACAACAACAGAAUGGCCCGACGUAGGGCUAGACCUCAUAAACCGUUUUGGCUGGACCAGACACCGGAAACCUCGGAACCGGGAACAUUGCGGGCACGAAAGGGUACGUGCUCCCGGAGGGUGCAUCCCGGAACACAGUCUUGCUUUCAGAGCCGCAGGAAGAAUCUAGAUCCGGUCCUGAACGGAUCUUUUUAUCUGCAUAUUGGUUUCAUGAAAGAUCGAUGGGCGGAAUAGAUUCAUCAGACCUCGAACUCCAAUUCCAUAGGGCCGAAAUUCCGUCAAUCCCGCAGGAACGGUCAUCAAUAGUUCUCUGUGUCAAUAGGUUCUUCCAGAGUUGGCCUUUGCCACCAGCAGCAUCGCCGCUGGAGCUUGAGGCCAAUGGUUGGUAGUGAUACCCCGUUUCAUGAGUGAAUAAAUAAAGAAACAUUGAAAAAAAAGUUGUAU